GACGAACGCUGGCGGCGUGCUUAACACAUGCAGGUCGAACGAUGAAGCUGGAGCUUGCUCCGGUGGAUUAGUGGCGAACGGGUGAGUAACACGUGAGCAAUCUGCCCUUGACUCUGGGAUAACUGCGGGAAACUGUAGCUAAUACCGGAUACGAGGCUCGAAGGCAUCUUCGGGUCUGGAAAGAAUUUCGGUCAAGGAUGAGCUCGCGGCCUAUCAGCUUGUUGGUGAGGUAAUGGCGAACCAAGGCGACGACGGGUAGCCGGCCUGAGAGGGGGACCGGCCUGAAUGGGACUGAGACACGGCCCGUACUCCUACGGGAGGCAGCAGUGGGGAAUAUUGCACAAUGGGCGAAAGCCUGAUGCAGCAACGCCGCGUGAGGGAUGAAGGCCUUCGGGUUGUAAACCUCUUUUAGCAGGGAAGAAGCGAAAGUGACGGUACCUGCAGAAAAAGCACCGGCUAACUACGUGCCAGCCGCCGCGGUAA
RNAcentral lists this ribosomal RNA (483 nucleotides) under uncultured bacterium. RNAcentral describes it as "partial 16S ribosomal RNA". It matches the Rfam family "Bacterial small subunit ribosomal RNA", at positions 28 to 523 of the family's 1533-position model. The record is from RNAcentral.